RNAcentral lists this ribosomal RNA (410 nucleotides) under uncultured bacterium. RNAcentral's name for it is "bacterial SSU rRNA". It matches the Rfam family "Bacterial small subunit ribosomal RNA", at positions 22 to 433 of the family's 1533-position model. The record is from RNAcentral.
GCUCAGAUUGAACGCUGGCGGAAUGCUUUACACAUGCAAGUCGAACGGCAGCACGGGAGCUUGCUCCUGGUGGCGAGUGGCGGACGGGUGAGUAAUAUAUCGGAACGUAUCUAUUAAUGGGGGAUAACUAGCCGAAAGGUUAGCUAAUACCGCAUACGCCCUGAGGGGGAAAGCUGGGGAUCUUCGGACCUGGCGUUAAUAGGGCGGCCGAUACCUGAUUAGCUAGUUGGUGGGGUAAAGGCCUACCAAGGCGACGAUCAGUAGCUGGUCUGAGAGGACGACCAGCCACACUGGGACUGAGACACGGUCCAGACACCUACGGGUGGCAGCAGUCGAGAAUUUCGACAAUGGGCGAAAGCCUGAUCCAGCCAUUCCGCGUGAGUGAAGAAGGCCUUCGGGUUGUAAAGCUC